Schistocerca gregaria is the source of this 178-nucleotide long non-coding RNA. RefSeq lists it as uncharacterized. The record is from RefSeq and is a predicted model, not a curated record. NCBI's taxonomy places the organism in Eukaryota, Metazoa, Arthropoda, Insecta, Orthoptera, Acrididae. The transcript has 3 exons.
GUUAAGAGCCGGCAACAAAAGACGGGCGACAUCGCGUCUUCGCGAGAACAUCUGCAAUUCUGCAUUUAUGUGCGAAUGCUGCAGCAAAAGUUCGGUUGCACCACAUCUCAAAAUCUGCAGUUCUGUUAAAGUUGGUACUACAGACAUAGUCACCAUGUAAUAAGAGGAUACCAAUGAC